Penaeus chinensis is the source of this 1655-nucleotide long non-coding RNA. RefSeq lists it as uncharacterized. Lineage: Eukaryota; Metazoa; Arthropoda; Malacostraca; Decapoda; Penaeidae. The transcript is spliced from 3 exons. The record is from RefSeq and is a predicted model, not a curated record.
CAUAAGCCUUUCUUUAUGUUAAAAAGGAAAUAAUAAUUGAGUUAUCCCUGUAAGAUUCUCUCUACUCCUAGUGUGCCCCAUUUUCUUAGUCAUCCGUAACCAGCAGCCGGCCAUUAUCAGGAGCCUCAUAUCAGGUCAGAGUUUUACGUGAGGAAUCACAAACAAGCAAAUAAAAUGACAAAUGAAGCAGUACAGAAGGACCUGAUCCAUCGCCUCCUAUGACCGCCACAGUAAAACUCUAAUUUGGCAAGUACUUAAGACGCCAGUAAAUAAAAUUUCCACAACCAAGUAAAACUACCAAGAAAAACUCCCAUCAGUUAAAACACCGUCUCCUCGUAAAUUCUAAGGACUUGCAAUAAGCAGGAGAUGGAGAGAGGAGAGUAAAAGAGGCCAGAGCUGAUGUUUCUUUUAAAAAUUCUCCAUAGAAAGAACCCGUUGACCACCUGCUGCAGGAGGACCUCGAACUUGAAACCCGAAGAUCAUUUCCGGAGGCCAGCGAGGAGGAACACGAGGAGGACGAGGGGCGUCGAGGGGACUGGCAACAGAAAAGGGUUGAGGAAAGCACAGGGAGAGAGUUUUUUUUAAAAGGUUGCUAAUCUGAAGUUAAAGAGUUCAUCAACCGCAGAGAUGCAACGACAACCAGCUUUUUGGCAAGCUCCAGUGCAGGUACAAUCAACCCGACAGACACCAGGAUCCAGCAGGUGGGCAAGCUAUGUUAAGUCACUCAGAUAAGACCUUACUAUAGACUUUGGUAAAUUCAAUGAAAGACGAAAGAGAUUUGCUGCAUCCAGAGCCUGAGGUAUUCAAAGGGGCUUUAUUAGUUUUACAUGGAUUCAUAUCUCAGAAAUUUUCAUCGAAUCAAAGAGUUUCAUAUCCUGCAGAAGAGUUGUUCUAUCUAGGAAAAUACAUUGAUGGGAAGGCUAAGACUGCAGUUAAAGGUCAUUUAUGAGUCCAUGCAGAAGCAGCAUAUCAAAGAGCUAAGAGUAUCUUGAUAGAAAUGGUAAUGAAUUUAUAGCAGCCAUUGUUUUCAGGAAGAAAUUAAGAGUGGCCAGAGAUUGCUAUUAAUGAUGGUCUAACUUUACAGGAAUGAUCAGACUUCCUAAAAUUUGUGAUGCUAUAAAGACUACAACAAUAUACUUACAUAUUUUAAAUGACCCACAGGAGGACAGCCUUGUCCUGCAAAAGUUACCUCCAGUUUUGAUGGAUAGAUGAAACAAUAUAGUACAUGAAAGGUGGUCAGAAGAAGCAGGAUAUCCACAAUUUAGUCUCUUUUGUCAGUUUAUAGAAAAGGAGGUAAAGGAAGGUUGUAAUCCAAUAUUUUUUUACACUGCAGUAAUGUUAGAGUCAUAGUAAAGGCCCAACUGUAUCUAAAGGAAACAGGGAUGGUAAGAUAGAAGCUAAUAAAACUUUUUUGGUUUGUGGUUAAUGCAACUGAUGCCAAGGAGAAUGAACUACAAGAAGAGAAGUCUCAUAAUGAUGAUAGGAAACAGAGUACCAGAAAAUUACAUUGUAUUUACUGUAAGGAAUAAAAUGAAUUGGAUAAUUGUAAAAGAAAAAAUAGGAACUGGAAAACAAUUAAAAAAUGGACUAUGUGUGAAAAAAAUACUUCUGUAGUUGCUUGAAGUGAGGACAUGUAAUGAAAUAUUGUAGAAAAA